Urocitellus parryii (Arctic ground squirrel) is the source of this 1410-nucleotide non-coding RNA. NCBI's taxonomy places the organism in Eukaryota, Metazoa, Chordata, Mammalia, Rodentia, Sciuridae. The record is from RefSeq and is a predicted model, not a curated record.
GGAAAAAAACCCAGCACUUCUGGAAAAACAAUUAAACAUCCUACUAGAGCAAUUUAUCUACAAUGACUGCCCCCAGCGCAGUGAUUGAGAUGCAGAAACUGAGGCACGGAGAGGGUUAAAUAGCCUGUGAAAUACAACCUAACCCGAACCAGGAUGUGAAUUUAAGCAACUCUACUCAAGGUUUCUGCUCAUAAAUUAGAUAUUGAGAAGAUGACGUGGCUCACUCUAGCGAGCCUGCUAAACAGUGGCUUCUCAACCAAUUGGUCAAGUACCUCAGCUCCAGCUUGUAUCUUGGAAAAUACAAAAUUUUUCGAAAAGGAUAUCAUGCUGGAGAAUGAGAAAGAUGUCAUUUUAAUAUCAAAAAGUAAGGAAUGAAACCAGGUCUUUGAGAGCUGUAAGAAUAAUUCCUCCAUUGAAAUAGGUCAGAGAAAACCCCUUUCUUCUCAUCCAGAGAACCCCACAGAGGGUGAACUGAGGAGACAUUUAAAUGGAGCACUUUUAUUUAACUUUCGGUUUCUGUGAUUAAAAUGAUGUCAAUAUGUAAUCAGAUAUUAAUGACAUUCUGACUUAGGCUAACCUCAGCUGAAAUCCAGCAGGUUGAUAGUCUUUGAUCAGGUUUACUAACCUAAACAAGAGGAAAAAAUAUUCAUCUAUAUGGGGCCUGGGCUGUGGCCUAGAAGGUGGAAUAAAAGGGUCUCCAGAGAAAGAAACCRUGAUUUGAACCGAUGUGAUGAGGACACAUGUAAGAGUCCCAAACACCAUGCUUUUCCCUGACAUUGCCCUUGGCUAGGUGUAGCCUGGGCUCUCAGUAGAUUUUUUUCAUGCUACCUGGUUAUAUCUGCAUCAAGGGAAGAACAAAACAAACAGACCACUUUAAAUAAAUGGUUAUUUCAUUAGCCUUUCCUCUAAGUAACGGCAACGAGCAUGGCCCUGGAUGACCUGCUUUCUCAACGUUGCUCUACCAAUUACCCGGAUGUCUCCUCAGACAAAUGGUUUUGGAACACACUUUCCUAAAUCUUAAAUUAUCUCCCUUGCUACUUUACAGGGAAUGAUGGUAGGAAUAAAAGAAAUGAUGCUAUGUCAGGUUAGAAGUAAUAAAUAUUCAGAAGAUAUUAUAUUAUGAUUACAGCUUUUUCACGGCUCAAACUAUGGCUUAAGCAAAUUUGUCUUUGAAGGAUUUUUCCACUUACUUUUCAAAUGGAGACAUAGGCAUGAGUUUGAAAUGCCUCUUUGUCUUUAAAGUGAACUUAUUCUGACCUUUUGAGUGAGUGGCUUGUCACAUUUUAUCUGUCUCCUAAAUGGGAUUGUAAAGUCUGUCCUUCAGGGUGAUGCCCGCAAUGGGCAGCCGGGCCGUUUGGCCAGUCCCCUGGGUUGAGUGCCUGCUAUCACAGAAAUGCUGAGCCCAGACCC